This 463-nucleotide ribosomal RNA is filed under the name uncultured bacterium. RNAcentral describes it as "partial 16S ribosomal RNA". It matches the Rfam family "Bacterial small subunit ribosomal RNA", at positions 28 to 507 of the family's 1533-position model. The record is from RNAcentral.
GACGAACGCUGGCGGCGUGCUUAACACAUGCAAGUCGAACGGUGAACCUCUUCGGAGGGGAUCAGUGGCGCACGGGUGAGUAACACGUGGGCAACCUGCCCCCGGCUCUGGGAUAACUCCAAGAAAUUGGGGCUAAUACCGUAUGUUCACCGCUUCCCGCAUGGGUGGUUGUGGAAGGGGUUUCCGGCUGGGGAUGGGCCCGCGGCGUAUCAGCUUGUUGGUGGGGUAGUGUCGUACCAAGGCGAGGACGGGUAGCCGGCCUGAGAGGGUGACCGGCCACACUGGGACUGAGACACGGCCCAGACUCCUACGGGAGGCAGCAGUGGGGAAUAGUGCGCAAUGGGCGGAAGCCUGACGCAGCGACGCCGCGUGGGGGAUGACGGCAUUCGGGUUGGAAACCUCUGUCCGCAGGGACGAAGCGCAAGUGACGGUACCUGCAGAAGAAGCACCGGCCAACUACGUG